UAUUGGUGUCUUCUUCUGUCUUCUGGUAUUCUUUGGUAGUGUACUAGUGCCACGAAGACCUAAACCGCGCGCACACAGUUGCUGUGAUGGACUGCCCCACUGUGUUGUCUGCGCAGAUGUUUCCCUUCCACGCUCUGAGUUGUGCGCUGUGAAACCAUUUGGUGACUCGUUUCUUCCUAGACUUUAUUCCAGCUGGAAUCUGCAAUUCUUCUGGAGCCUUGACAGCACAGAUGUGGUAUGUUGCAGGAAUCAGAAUACCUGCUUCUCCAUGUUCGGCUUGAAUCAACAUCU
This is a non-coding RNA of Chelonoidis abingdonii (Abingdon island giant tortoise), 291 nucleotides long. NCBI's taxonomy places the organism in Eukaryota, Metazoa, Chordata, Testudines, Testudinidae. The record is from RefSeq and is a predicted model, not a curated record.